Molecule: ribosomal RNA, 454 nt
Filed under: uncultured bacterium
Lineage: Bacteria
Description: partial 16S ribosomal RNA
Rfam family: Bacterial small subunit ribosomal RNA
Source: RNAcentral
CUACGGGGGGCAGCAGUGAGGAAUAUUGCGCAAUGGGCGAAAGCCUGACGCAGCGACGCCGCGUGGGGGAUGAAGGUUUUCGGAUUGUAAACCCCUUUCAGGAGGAAAGAUAAGGCGGGUAACCGCCCGGACGGUACCUCCAGAAGAAGCCACGGCUAACUUCGUGCCAGCAGCCGCGGUAAUACGAAGGUGGCGAGCGUUGUUCGGAUUUACUGGGCGUAAAGAGCGCGUAGGCGGUUAGGUAAGCCUCUUGUGAAAGCUCCCGGCUUAACCGGGAAUGGUCGAGGGUAACUACCUAGCUAGAGGGCGGGAGAGGAGCGCGGAAUUCCCGGUGUAGCGGUGAAAUGCGUAGAUAUCGGGAAGAAGGCCGGUGGCGAAGGCGGCGCUCUGGAACGCACCUGACGCUGAGGCGCGAAAGCGUGGGGAGCAAACAGGAUUAGAUACCCGUGUAGUC